UCUGCGGCGCGGCCCGCGAGCGGAAAAUUUCGGGAUUUGUGUGAAUUUCCCUUCCCCCGGGCACAAAGGGUUCGGUGUUUCUGUCGCUUUUCGGGAGGAACUUUCAGGGACCGUGCCUGGACUGCUGAGGGAGAUCAGGCUGUCAGGAGAAACUGGGCACUCUGCAGUCAGCUCUGCUGUCACUUCCAGGAGAUUUUGGGAGUAAGAGCCGAAGUGUGACCAUCCUAUCUUCACCUCCAGCCCAAUCAUUCUCUCUUGGCAUCAAGAACACAUCUCCCGAUGUGCAGAGACAACAGGAGGUGCAGUGCAGGCAUGGGCAGUGAGCUACAGCCCUUGCCUUGGCCUUGGUUGUCAUCCCACAUCUCUGUGCUGUAGGCAAGGACUUCUUUUACUAGAUGAAAUUUCGAUGUUUGAUGUAAACCAUAAUCCUAUUUUUUUUUUCAUUUUAAUUCUUCCAUAGCUGCUGGAAGCCCAACCCUGAAAUCAUUGAAAAAAGAGUCCUGCAGUCACUGAAGUUUUUCAUGAUGUCUCAGCAGUUCAUGCAGGACUGAUGAACAAAACUCAUGUGGGAAUGGAAGCGCAAAGAGAUCGACAAAACACUGUGUGCAAAAUCAAAGUCAGUAUGCAACAUAACUCCAAAUCUAGAAAUAAUUGUCCAAAAUUCAGUAUCGAGAGUGAAUGGGGAUCCCAGGAGGAGUCACAUUGAUGCCUUCAUUGUGCUUUGACAACAUGUUAUGUAGAGGAGAGAUCUCAAAUUCCCACAGAAAAAAGUAUUUUAUAACCCUGUGUCCAGCAGAGCCCUGGGUGCAUUG
Long non-coding RNA from Melospiza melodia melodia, 812 nucleotides. RefSeq lists it as uncharacterized. The record is from RefSeq and is a predicted model, not a curated record. Lineage: Eukaryota; Metazoa; Chordata; Aves; Passeriformes; Passerellidae. The transcript is spliced from 3 exons.